AAUGUGAAAUCCACUUCAAACAUUAAAUUGUUCAAUAAUAUCCAAUACAUAAUUUGUAAAUCAUAUUAAAUCCAAAUAACAUCAACCUACACUACAUUGUAGUCAAGUUUCUACAAUUUACUAACGCUUAAAAUAAAAGAAGCCCACUUAGUUCUAAUGUCUUCAAUGUCUGGAGCUUCCAUUGGAGAUGAAUCAUCAAAGAUCUACAAAUAAAAUAAUUAAGUUAGAACANUUUUGUACUGAACAGUUAGAUAAGUAUUAAGUUAGUUUUUUAAUACCCCGACAAACACUUGGAAAUAAGAGAAGAAAAUCAUAACAAAUUAGGAAAAAACAACGUUAGAAAGUAUGUAGGUUAAAUAUAUGUUUUAGUCCUCAUAUUUGUUCUCCAUUCUCAAUUAGGUCCUCAUGUUUUUUUUUGUCCCAAUUGCAUCCUAAUAUUUGUAAAUUUUAGGCAAUUAAGCCCUUUCCGUUAACUGGCCACUAACGUCGUAGGCCAAUUGAGAGGGCUUAAUUGCCUCAAAUUUACAAAUAUUAGGAUGCAAUUGGGACAAAAAAAAAAACGGAGAGGACUUAAUUCCUCAAAUUUACAAAGAUUAGGAUGCAAUUGGGACAAAAAAAAAAACAUGAGGACCUAAUUGAGAAUGGAGAACAAAUAUGAGGACUAAAACAUAUAUUUAACCAAAGUAUGUAAAGGGAAAAGGUGAAAGCUUAUCCGUCCCUAGAUUGAUGAAUUUAAGUAUCCUAUAAAUUAAACAAUUUAAUGGUAGAUAGAUACUAAAUCUAAAAAACAUUUGAAUUCAGUGCUUCUGCCAGAAAUGUAAACUGUAAUGCAGUUUCCUCCCCUUCCAGUAGAGGCGAGUUAAUAGGUAUACGAGGAACUGAUCCAACUUCAAAGUUUUUAACUNGCUUCUCUAUUUUCAUUGAUUAUGCAGACAUUUAAGAGUUAAUAACAAAGAAUCAAUGUCAAAAAUCAAAGUUGCNAGUAAAUUUUACUAUUCAUUGGACUUUUUAAUGGAUCGAGCACCACUUUGCACCUUGCUUUCCCUCUGUUCUGUUAUAUAAAUAAUCAAAACACAAACAUAAAAGAAAUCAAAUAAAACUGUUCUUGCUUCACUGUACACCCCUUUCAAAUGAUUCCUGCUAUGUAGCAAAUGCUCUUAUUGAACUGAAGAAGGAAAUAAAUAAUAAGAGGGAAAUUAUACUAGUUAAUUUUAUAAAUAAAAUAAUUAGGAAUAAAAGUAUGGACAAUAUCUAUAUUUUUUAACUUAUUUUUCCAUUAUCUCUCUUGUUGCUUGUUACGUAAUAUAUAUAUAUAUAUAUAUAUAUAUAUAUAUAUAUAUAUAUAUAUAUAAAUUUUAAACGAUUAUUUAAAUUAUAAACUCAAAUAAAAAAAUUGAUCUUAAAAUUUAAUUUAAAUAAACAUCAAUAGAAUAAUUGUUCAUGUGACAAAAGAAAAUGAAAAUAAUUGAUGCAGCACAGGAUUUUCAAGUGCCAAAGAUAUUAUCAUUGGUCAUUUGAAAGACCUGCUAUGAUAUAUAGAACUAAAAUUGCUUAAGGUAUAAUAAAAACGAAACAAGAAAAAUCAUUGCAUGGUGCUUUUAAUCCUACACAUCGCCUAUUAUUUUCUACCCAUAGGUCCACAUAGGUCUCUUCAAGAUAAUAUUAUCUUCAGAAACCGAAAGGAUGUUUUUUCCCCUUGAAAGGCAUGAACCCAAAAGUGUUAUGAUCUUCCAGGAUCACUAAUAUUAUAUAAUAAGAAUAUUAUCCUAAAUCAAGAAUAAGAUAAAUACAAUAAAAUCAAAUUAAUGCAUCAUAAAUUAACAGUUUAGGUUAAAAAAAAGAUAAUCUCCACCCACCAAAAAUUUCAUAUUGGGGGUAAGUUAUCAACUAACCAGGUAAAGAAAAUAAGAAAAGAAAUGAAGAGAACAUACUCUGAUGGAACAAGUGGACUAUAAGCAAUACUUGAUUCCUUUAUCUCGCCAAGAACUAGAAUGCCUCCUCCAUCACCAUCUCCUUUCAAGCAAUGAAAGAAGACUUUGGGUGUUAUUCCGCGUGAUGACAACUG
RNAcentral lists this long non-coding RNA (2065 nucleotides) under Vigna radiata. RNAcentral describes it as "long non-coding RNA (VRAD_LNC010085)". The record is from RNAcentral. Lineage: Eukaryota; Viridiplantae; Streptophyta; Magnoliopsida; Fabales; Fabaceae.